CUGGCGGCGUGCCUAAUACAUGCAAGUCGAACGCACUCUCGUUUAGAUUGAAGGAGCUUGCUCCUGAUUGAUAAACAUUUGAGUGAGUGGCGGACGGGUGAGUAACACGUGGGUAACCUGCCCUAAAGUGGGGGAUAACAUUUGGAAACAGAUGCUAAUACCGCAUAAAACCUAACACCGCAUGGUGUAGGGUUGAAAGAUGGUUUCGGCUAUCACUUUAGGAUGGACCCGCGGUGCAUUAGUUAGUUGGUGAGGUAAAGGCUCACCAAGACCGUGAUGCAUAGCCGACCUGAGAGGGUAAUCGGCCACACUGGGACUGAGACACGGCCCAGACUCCUACGGGAGGCAGCAGUAGGGAAUCUUCCACAAUGGACGAAAGUCUGAUGGAGCAACGCCGCGUGAGUGAAGAAGGUUUUCGGAUCGUAAACUCUGUUGUUGGAGAAGAAUGUAUCUGAUAGUAACUGAUCAGGUAGUGACGGUAUCCAACCAGAAAGCCACGGCUAACUACGUG
This 511-nucleotide ribosomal RNA is filed under the name uncultured bacterium. RNAcentral describes it as "bacterial SSU rRNA". It matches the Rfam family "Bacterial small subunit ribosomal RNA", at positions 36 to 507 of the family's 1533-position model. The record is from RNAcentral.